CAGUCGCCGCGGUAAUACCAGCAGCCCAAGUGGUGGUCGCGCUUAUUGGGCCUAAAGCGCUCGUAGCCUGGCCGGUAAGUUCCCCGUGAAAUCGGGUCGCCCAACGAUUCAGCUUGCGGGGAAUACUGUCGGUCUUGGGGCCGGGAGACGCCGAGGGUACUCCGGGGGUAGCGGUGAAAUGCUGUAAUCCUCGGGGGACUACCAGUGGCGAAGGCGCUCGGCGAUAACGGGCCUGACGGUGAGGGGCGAAAGCUGGGGGCGCGAACGGGAUUAGAGACCCGCGUAGUCCCUGUCUCUUAAC
This 301-nucleotide ribosomal RNA is filed under the name uncultured bacterium. Its description in RNAcentral is "partial 16S ribosomal RNA". It matches the Rfam family "Archaeal small subunit ribosomal RNA", at positions 459 to 758 of the family's 1478-position model. The record is from RNAcentral.